Molecule: long non-coding RNA, 667 nt
Organism: Echinops telfairi (small Madagascar hedgehog)
Lineage: Eukaryota; Metazoa; Chordata; Mammalia; Afrosoricida; Tenrecidae
Exons: 4
Source: RefSeq, a predicted model, not a curated record
AAGAACUCUUCUACCGCCUGCUGGGAAUCGGGCCUUUCGCCGGAGAGCGGGGCUAGGGCGCCGAGCCCGUUUGCUGUGUGAAGUGAGUCGGCAGCGAGCGGGGCCCACGGAGCUGUGACGGGGAUAGAUGUGUCCGGGAGGACUGCGCACUGACACAGUACGUGAGCUUUGUGCACAGAGGCUGCUGGUGCUGUGGUCUGACUAUUCAGUAGCAGAGCUGCUUGGGCGAAGUUCCAGCUUUUGAUUUGCUUACAGUCAAGUGGAGGAGACAAGUCAGUGAUUGUAGUACGGCCACUGAAAUAUUCUAAAAGACAUGUAUCUGCAGGUUGCAACUGGACGUGGCCUCGAGGUAAAUCCAGCCCCUCGUUGAAAUUUUGUUUCAGCAGAUCAUUCAUAAUAUUCUAAGGAAUUGGAAUAUUUUCCAGAAAAGCGAAAGUUUUGUGUAGUUCUGGUUUGAAAUUAUUUUUUUUCCUGUUUAUAGCAGAAAGGUGCUUAAGCAAAGGUUCUUUCUGCUGAAUUAUGAUGAUGCUGGCAUGUAGUCAUCCGCCUUAUUUAAUCAAGUGGGUUAUAGUUUUAAAUUUAGUGGAUUUUAAUGCCAAAGCCAAUUCUAGAUCAAAGCCAAUUCUAGAACCGUUUCCCUUGGUUGAAUAAAAUUUUAUUAAAACCA